This is a non-coding RNA of Arachis ipaensis, 678 nucleotides long. Lineage: Eukaryota; Viridiplantae; Streptophyta; Magnoliopsida; Fabales; Fabaceae. The record is from RefSeq and is a predicted model, not a curated record.
UCAUCCCAAUUCACCUAUUACAUUUUAUCUCAUAAAUUAAACCCUAAUUCGUGUCUUCUCCAUUUCUCCUCAGUUCACUCCACUGCCGUCGCGCUGUCUUCGCUCUACUGCCGCUAUGCCGUCUUCGCUCUACUGCCGCUAUGUCCAUCGUCUCUCCGUCACACUCGCGUCGCCGUCACACUCGUGUCACCGUUGCUCUGUCCUUCAGUUACUCUCUCUCUUUCUCUUUGCUCAGUUUCAUUCUUCAACUCUAAAACCUCCAUUGAUGAUUGACCUAAAACUCAUCAAUUUGAGAAUUCAGUGCCGUCUUUCAACCUUCACGGAUGAACUACAACUGAGUUCAACUUCUCAUUGUUGCAUUAUGAAGAGGCUCUUCUGCUGAUUUGAAAUGCAAACCAGGAGACAAGGAGACAGUUCAGAAGGUCUGUGACAUAGUCAAGAAGCAAUUGGCACUGCCAGAGGGUUCAAGUGUCACUGGAGAGUCCAAGUUUGCUGCCUUUGGAGCUGAUUCUCUUUACACAGUAUUUUCACAUUUUCUUAAACUUCAUCUCUGAAUUUAUAAUAAUCGCCAUUCUUGAUUGUAUCUUUCAUCUAUGCAUGUCUUUGUUGAAAAUUUUAUAUGUUAUCAGUCCUUUUCAUGGUACUCUCUCUCAUUAUGGAGGGAUGAAAGGUUCUUUA